UUCACACAUUUUCUUCCUGCACUCACUAUUUAUAUUUCACUUGCCAAUUUCCAAUUGUUCACGCACAACACAAAUUUCAUUGCCAAAAUUAAUUCGAAUCGAGUGAUGGUCAAACACCGCGCCCGCGACACACACCAACAACAACACCAGAAAAAUUGGCAAACACCAACUUAAGAGGAGUGAAACACGGAGAAGCCUUGCCAAGGAAUGUGCCCAUAAACGCAUGAUAAAAAUAAGAGGGGAAAAAUAGAAUAUUGUGCUACAUUACUGCUCCCCUUUGCUAGCAACCUGUUUCAGGCAAUGAACCCGCGUGCAACUACUCUCCAGCCAAACAACAAUUUUACCAGCAGUUAACAUAAGCAAAACACCUAACCUCAAAUACAUGUAUUCAAGCAACACACAUAAAUCUCACCGAUUGGCAAUUACUACACUGCAGUUAAGCGCAAACAUAUGUACGUCUACGUCACUGGUAUUGACCAACCAAUGGCGUGCGGCGGUUUCGCUUGCUGCCGCGCCGACACACACUCCAACGACCGAAUGAAAAAAUUCACCACCGGAAAUGCAUUUCACUCGGCAAAGGCAAACGAAAUACGAUUUCCACACAGCUAUGUCUUGCACUCAUGCGAUUUGUGCUGAUGCGCCAUGUCGAAGAGAGAGAGAGAGUAGGAUUGUAAGUAGUAUUUAGUGUUUAAGGAAGGCGUCACUCAUACGCUUGAUUGUAGGACAUAGCUUACGCUUUUGCCGUUUGAACUAUGUAUACAUCCAGUACGUGAAAUUUCGGAGCGCUUGGAGUAGUGGUGUUGGUGGUUGAGUGGUAGCCACACGCUGAGAUUGGUGUACGUGUGUGUGAAAGCGCGAGAGCGCCAAGUAGUAUGAGAGCGUAGUGGCCUUUAAAGCAACAACAACGCGAAUUUGCAUUGCGCUCAUUGGCUGCAAGCACCAUAAAGGAUGUGGAAGUAAUGCUUGGUGUCGACUACCAUGCUGGCCAAUCAGAGAGGUGCCGAACACAUAUGUAAGCGGUUACUUGUACGUUAUCCUUAGCUGCUUGCGGUGAAAUCAAAGUAAUGCUACGAAAGGUGUAUUGCGGAGUAGUUGUUGUAUUUAUUACAAUGGCUUGGAGGACAGCGUACACUUGCCAAAGUUAGCAAAAUAAUUUUUGGCUCUGUCGCUGUUUUCUGUAAAUAUUUCAGCCAAACUAGUAUAACGUUUACCAAGAUUCUGUAGAAAGAUAUGAUUGUUAAUCAAAAUGUAUUAUGUUUCUUGCGAUUUACAUGAAAUUAAAUUUAUAUAUUCACUUAGUCAGGCUUGUAUAUAGUGCAUAGUAUAUAAAGUUAUGUAAACAUUUGUAAUUAGCGUAUUGUCUCUAACUCUAACUUUAGUUAUUUGCAGUUCUAGCCCUUUAAGAAGCUUGUACGUCUUAUUGAUAGUCACCUGGCCGCGGUAACGGUGUUGCGUGGAAAACAACAUCGCGUCCACUCACCGUCCGCAUUUUUUAUUUAAGAUUUAUAUUUUUAAUUUAAAUUUCAUCCAAUAAUCACAUAAACAUACAUUUAAGAUUAUGACAGAAACAAAAUCAAAUAAUACUCACAUACUCAAGUAAAUUAUUACUGUCAUAUACUCGUAAAUACUUAAUUACUCAUAUUACGUAAAUUGUAGUAAAUAGUUUUACGUAACCAACGUAAUAAUGUUCAGAAGAAUGUGGAGAAUAUUGAAAUUGAAUAAAGGUUGAAAAAACUGUAAAGCUCUCGACAGCGGAACAGCA
Zeugodacus cucurbitae (melon fly) is the source of this 1762-nucleotide long non-coding RNA. RefSeq lists it as uncharacterized. The transcript is spliced from 2 exons. The record is from RefSeq and is a predicted model, not a curated record. NCBI's taxonomy places the organism in Eukaryota, Metazoa, Arthropoda, Insecta, Diptera, Tephritidae.